RNAcentral lists this ribosomal RNA (273 nucleotides) under uncultured bacterium. Its description in RNAcentral is "partial 16S ribosomal RNA". It matches the Rfam family "Bacterial small subunit ribosomal RNA", at positions 524 to 796 of the family's 1533-position model. The record is from RNAcentral.
UACGGAGGGUGCGAGCGUUGUCCGGAAUCACUGGGCGUAAAGGGCGCGUAGGCGGUCCGGUAAGCGUGCGGUGAAAGCCUGGGGCUCAACCCCGGGUCGGCCGUGCGAACUGCGGGACUCGAGCACUGUAGAGGCAGGCGGAAUUCCGGGUGUAGCGGUGGAAUGCGUAGAGAUCCGGAAGAACACCGGUGGCGAAGGCGGCCUGCUGGGCAGUGGCUGACGCUGAGGCGCGACAGCGUGGGGAGCAAACAGGAUUAGAUACCCCCGUAGUCC